GGGAAAUCGGGGAAAUUGACUUUGGCAGAGAGUAAAGCAAUUUCGGGCCACACAGAAACGACGCCGUUUUAGUUAAAAAAAUUUAGAUUUUGUGGCGUUUUCAUAAAACGCCACUAAUAAAAAUAACAACAAAGUAUAAAACGACAGCAUUUUGCUUCCAUGGAUAAUUGUGGCGUUUUUCAAUAAAACGCCGGUAAAUUUUAAUAUCAUUUAGCCUUUAUAUUUUUAUAAUAUUAUUAAUUAAUCAAAAUACUUAAUAUUAUUAACACUAAUUAAUCAAAACUCUAUACCUUAAACCAUUAAACUAUAUCCCUAUAACCUUAAUCCCUAAAGUAUAUCCCUUAAACCCUAAACUAUAUCCCCUAACCAUAAACCACAAAAUAAUAACCCCUAAGCCUUAACCACAAAAUGUAUAGAUU
This 419-nucleotide long non-coding RNA is filed under the name Gossypium barbadense (sea-island cotton). RNAcentral describes it as "long non-coding RNA (GBAR_LNC005507)". The record is from RNAcentral. Lineage: Eukaryota; Viridiplantae; Streptophyta; Magnoliopsida; Malvales; Malvaceae.